UGAAGUAUAUUUGAGGAUAAUGAUGUUGUUUGUACUGAAGUUUGUGGUUUCCAGCAUGAUGGUAGUCUGCACCUGCAAGCUAGAAGCCAGAAGUAUGGAAAGGUUUGCUUGUGGAAAUUGAUUACACUAAAAUGGUAUUCUAUCCUCACAAGAAACUGUAUCUACUUAUUCUACUGAGUGUGUGUGAGGAUUCUAGGGUUUUUUUUUUUUUUUUUUUUUUUUAAAACUUUAUUAAUAAAAUGGCCGAAGCCAA
Ipomoea nil (Japanese morning glory) is the source of this 253-nucleotide long non-coding RNA. RefSeq lists it as uncharacterized. Lineage: Eukaryota; Viridiplantae; Streptophyta; Magnoliopsida; Solanales; Convolvulaceae. The transcript has 2 exons. The record is from RefSeq and is a predicted model, not a curated record.